GCUUGUCUCAAAGAUUAAGCCAUGCAUGUCUAAGUAUAAAUAUCUAUACUGUGAAACUGCGUAUGGCUCAUUAAAUCAGUUAUAGUUUAUUUGAUGAUACCCCACUACAUGGAUAACCGUAGUAAUUCUAGAGCUAAUACAUGCGUCAAAUCCCGACUUUUUGGAAGGGAUGUAUUUAUUAGAUCCAACCAGCCCGGUUCGCCGGAGUCCCUGGUGAGUCAUAAUAACUGAGCGAAUCGCAUGGCCUUGUGCCGGCGAUGGUUCAUUCAAGUUUCUGCCCUAUCAGCUUUCGAUGGUAGGGUAUUGGCCUACCAUGGCGUUAACGGGUAACGGAGAAUUAGGGUUCGAUUCCGGAGAGGGAGCCUGAGAAACGGCUACCACAUCCAAGGAAGGCAGCAGG
Molecule: ribosomal RNA, 400 nt
Filed under: uncultured Bicosoecida
Lineage: Eukaryota; Bigyra; Bicosoecida
Description: partial small subunit ribosomal RNA
Rfam family: Eukaryotic small subunit ribosomal RNA
Source: RNAcentral